RNAcentral lists this long non-coding RNA (1538 nucleotides) under Mus pahari (shrew mouse). RNAcentral describes it as "lncRNA (MGP_PahariEiJ_G0005813.1)". Lineage: Eukaryota; Metazoa; Chordata; Mammalia; Rodentia; Muridae. The record is from RNAcentral.
ACCGAAGUCUCCCACGGAACAAGCACCACCCUCUUUUACCCAAGCCAGUGCCUGUGUCCCUCUAGUCAACACCCUCAAGCUCAGCCCAGACCUAGAGUCAGACCCUGGGGGCAGCGCCGCAUUUUGGCUUUCGAGGCUUAUCAGCCAUCCCAACGCUGACGGCCACCCCACCUACAGCUCGAGGACCUCACUGUGGAGAUGGCCGCUGUGGGUUACAAACAAGAGUGAAGCCCCUGUCCUGCCUCAGUGUGUGGAGCAUCUUCCCCAGUCACCUAGUGCUUUGCAGGCCCUGAAGGUUCGCCACAGUGUUGGGGUGGCUUCUGAAUCAGGAGAACCUGGGUUGCUUUGCCACAAGUGUGACUUGCAACAUUUUGUAUCUACUCUGAAAAUUUCCCGGCUGGUUUCCAUAGUGCCUUAUUGAGCCCUGACUGUAAUCCAAGGAGGUAGAAACUGUUGCUUCCCAUGGCAGACUUGAGAUGAAGUGCCUUGCUAAAGAAGGUAUCCCUAUUGAAGAGUGGAGAGCCUCCUAGGCCCCACAGGACAGCCUCACAAAGAUCCAACAGAUGUUUCAGCGCAGACAGACUACCAGUUAGGAGGACUAUGCCGCUGUUCUGCCUGAUGUGGGAUUCCAGCAGCUCAAAGUGGAAUGGAAACUGUUGAACAGCGGUCAGCAUCUACAGUCUAAUUUACUGAGGGCUUUCCAAUCAUUAAGUUGAUGGAACAGCCUAUGGACCGUGUUUCUUCACCACUUCCUUGGUUCUCCUCUCCUCUAAGUACUCUGGUCUUCUCUGAGGUAAAGGAUCACGUUGGUACCCCUAGCCAACGGGCUGACUAUGGCCUGAACAAACCGUGAAGGAUCCACCAGCAGAAGACGCCCAGGCACACUGCUCAUCAUCAUUGUGCUCUGUGAUCACAACUACUCUCUCUACCACUAGGUAGACUGAAUAGAAUACAACGCCGAACUACCAAUCGUGGCAAUGCCUGCACCAGCCUAGAAAGCCUCCAUGAAUGCCUUUGUGCCAGACUUCGCAAUAGUUCCCAAGUUAUGAAUGAGGUCAGCCAUGGUCAUGCCAAUGCCUGUGUCCACCAAUGUCAGUGUGUGUUCCUAAGGAUUGGGCAUGAUGUCAAUUUUCAGCUUUAACUCUGUCUAACUUGGAAGGGUCUGUGAGGCUUUCAAAGUGUAUUUUUUCUAAAGCAUCAGAAGCAUUAGAGAUCAACGCCUGAAAGAAAAUUCCAUUGUUUGAAUAGAACAUCUUGAUGAUAAGGGACAAGAGCAGAACAGUUUCUACCUGAAAGGCAAAGGUCUCCACCUCUUCCUCUCUAUGGCGCACUUCCUCAGGCAUCCUAACAGGAAAGCUAAGUGGUAGUACAGGGCAGGGUAGACCUGUCCUGCAUCGGACUUGCAUGCCAAACCCAGGCUGCACAGGGUUUACUCGGGAGCUUGUUUUCAUUUCUGGUAUGAGCAUUUCUUUGUCAAUCUUAAGUAUUAGAUAUUUUAUAAAUUAAAGAUGUCAUGCGAUUCUGUGUUUUGGAAAGUA